AACAUGCAAGUUGAACGAAGCGCUUAAAUGGAUUUCUUCGGAUUGAAGUUUUUGUGACUGAGUGGCGGACGGGUGAGUAACGCGUGGGUAACCUGCCUCAUACAGGGGGAUAACAGUUAGAAAUGACUGCUAAUACCGCAUAAGCGCACAGUGCUGCAUGGCACAGUGUGAAAAACUCCGGUGGUAUGAGAUGGACCCGCGUCUGAUUAGCUAGUUGGUGGGGUAACGGCCUACCAAGGCGACGAUCAGUAGCCGGCCUGAGAGGGUGAACGGCCACAUUGGGACUGAGACACGGCCCAAACUCCUACGGGAGGCAGCAGUGGGGAAUAUUGCACAAUGGGGGAAACCCUGAUGCAGCGACGCCGCGUGAGCGAAGAAGUAUUUCGGUAUGUAAAGCUCUAUCAGCAGGGAAGAAAAUGACGGUACCUGACUAAGAAGCACCGGCUAAAUACGUGCCAGCAGCCGCGGUAAUACGUAUGGUGCAAGCGUUAUCCGGAUUUACUGGGUGUAAAGGGAGCGUAGACGGUUGUGUAAGUCUGAUGUGAAAGCCCGGGGCUCAACCCCGGGACUGCAUUGGAAACUAUGUAACUAGAGUGUCGGA
This 601-nucleotide ribosomal RNA is filed under the name uncultured bacterium. RNAcentral's name for it is "bacterial SSU rRNA". It matches the Rfam family "Bacterial small subunit ribosomal RNA", at positions 52 to 653 of the family's 1533-position model. The record is from RNAcentral.